This 471-nucleotide non-coding RNA is filed under the name unclassified sequences. Its description in RNAcentral is "ROOL RNA". It matches the Rfam family "ROOL RNA". Rfam says of the family: Firmicutes, Fusobacteria (1 example), Tenericutes (1 example). Environment (Cow rumen (57)) The record is from Rfam by way of RNAcentral.
ACAACCGCAUAUAUUGCCCUAAAACCAUUUUGUAAUCAGAACACCAUCUGAAAUGGACGUAAACGUGCUGAACAAAAUAACGGAUACGUUAUCUACAUAAGCACGUCUGCGGUACAUCAUAUUGUUUGUAGAAAAGGUACACACGACUACUCAACGCAAUAGCAGGAGUUCUAGGAACUCUGAAAGACAAAACGGCUAUUCCCGUGGAACGAAAUGGGUACGCUGCCAAAUCCAAAUAAGUUGAGGUGCGGUUAUCCAUAGUCUGUGUGGUCACGAGCCUAAAUCCGCACAAAAUUAAAAACAAUUUUGCUGAAUGGUAGGUGAGUGUGAAGGACACUUCCGUAACUCGACACGGUACGGAAGUCAAAUGGUAGCUCCAUUUGGCUCAGCCCGUACUAUUAUGUGACUGAAUAUUCUGUGCAAUGUAGAUGUUUGUAUAAGCCGUACACUAUCGUGGCGGUGAAAACGUUA